AGUGAACGCUGGCGGUAGGCCUAACACAUGCAAGUCGAACGGCAGCACAGUAAGAGCUUGCUCUUACGGGUGGCGAGUGGCGGACGGGUGAGGAAUACUUCGGAAUCUACUUUUUCGUGGGGGAUAACGUAGGGAAACUUACGCUAAUACCGCGUACGACCUACGGGUGAAAGCAGGGGAUCUUCGGACCUUGCGCGAUUGAAUGAGCCGAUGUCGGAUUAGCUAGUUGGCGGGGUAAAGGCCCACCAAGGCGACGAUCCGUAGCUGGUCUGAGAGGAUGAUCAGCCACACUGGAACUGAGACACGGUCCAGACUCCUACGGGAGGCAGCAGUGGGGAAUAUUGGACAAUGGGCGCAAGCCUGAUCCAGCCAUACCGCGUGGGUGAAGAAGGCCUUCGGGUUGUAAAGCCCUUUUGUUGGGAAAGAAAAGCAGCAGGUUAAUACCCCGCUGUUCUGACGGUACCCAAAGAAUAAGCACCGGCUAACUUCGUG
This 492-nucleotide ribosomal RNA is filed under the name uncultured bacterium. Its description in RNAcentral is "partial 16S ribosomal RNA". It matches the Rfam family "Bacterial small subunit ribosomal RNA", at positions 29 to 507 of the family's 1533-position model. The record is from RNAcentral.